This 87-nucleotide transfer RNA is filed under the name Chloroflexota bacterium. RNAcentral describes it as "tRNA-Ser". It matches the Rfam family "tRNA". Rfam says of the family: Transfer RNA (tRNA) molecules are approximately 80 nucleotides in length. Their secondary structure includes four short double-helical elements and three loops (D, anti-codon, and T loops). The record is from RNAcentral. Lineage: Bacteria; Bacillati; Chloroflexota.
GGAGAGGUCGCAUAGUGGCCUAGUGCGCGCGCCUGGAAAGCGCGUAGGGUAUUACCCUCGUGGGUUCGAAUCCCACCCUCUCCGCCA